Molecule: transfer RNA, 86 nt
Filed under: Lentinula raphanica
Lineage: Eukaryota; Fungi; Basidiomycota; Agaricomycetes; Agaricales; Omphalotaceae
Description: tRNA-Pro
Source: RNAcentral
GGCCUGAUGGUCUAGGAGUAUGAUUCGUUGUUAGGGUUUCUGCCUUACGUUCGACGAGGUCCCGGGUUCAAUUCCCGGUCAGGCCC